This 219-nucleotide ribosomal RNA is filed under the name uncultured bacterium. RNAcentral's name for it is "partial 16S ribosomal RNA". It matches the Rfam family "Bacterial small subunit ribosomal RNA", at positions 100 to 334 of the family's 1533-position model. The record is from RNAcentral.
CGGCACGGGUGCGUAACGCGUGGGAAUCUGCCCUCUGGUGCGGAAUAACUCAGGGAAACUUGAGCUAAUACCGCAUAAUGACUUCGGUCCAAAGAUUUAUCGCCUGAGGAUGAGCCCGCGUCGGAUUAGCUAGUUGGUGAGGUAAAGGCUCACCAAGGCGACGAUCCGUAGCUGGUCUGAGAGGAUGAUCAGCCACACUGGGACUGAGACACGGCCCAG